CGUGUACUUAAGAGAGCCCGCACGGGGCACGCGCCCUCGCUCGUCCCCAGAGGAGACUUUCCUUCUCCCAGCAAGCGUGCGGGAUGCUCCAGGCGUGCCAAGGCCCUCCGGGACCAGGGAGUUGGCCGCAGGCACCCACGGUAAACAGCCCUCUAAUGACGGAGGGCUCGAUGCGGGAGAUUUCAGUCCCGACUCUACACCGGCUUCAAGAACUUGAAACAGACAUUCCCCCCAGAGCCUCAGUUUUCCCAUCUGUUUGGAGUUUGCUGGCUCCGUCUCCAGUUCCUUUUGUCUCUUCCCACAUCCCCUCACUCAAGGUCUCUGGGAGCCUGGGCCUUCAGAGACAGCCCUCAGAUCACCUGAGUCGCCCAAGGAUGGAGACCUCCCCCCCAUUUUCCAGAACAAUAAGGUUAGAUGCAGAAAGGCCUGGCCAUUCCCAGCCACCACCCCCCGACUCCUCCCCAGGUGUGGGUGCUGAGAGGUGGAGCCACAGCCAGGCCUCUCCCCAUUGGGCGGGCUCCACAGGUAACCUGAAGCUGUGCUGCCAGGUGCAUAAAUAA
This 560-nucleotide long non-coding RNA is filed under the name Sus scrofa (pig). Its description in RNAcentral is "lncRNA (ENSSSCG00025074343.1)". The record is from RNAcentral. Lineage: Eukaryota; Metazoa; Chordata; Mammalia; Artiodactyla; Suidae.